ACUAGAUAAAAAAUGCAGAUAAAUACAACACACGUAGUGAGGCUGAUGCUGAACAUAGCGAUCCAGAUGGGUGCAGGUCCCUAGCUACAAAUGAGAGGUGCAAAGGAGCUUCCAGCUCUCUCCUUGCAUAGACUGAACGAACAUGUUCAAGGUGGGGUGAGUAGAGAUGACCAACAUCUGGAGUUAUUCCAGUCCAAGAAUGAACAGUUUUGCUAGUGUAUAUGCUGGUAAAACUGGUGCUUUUAAUAUUACCUAUCACUUUUACUGAUGUUUACUGCUAAGGUCAAGAUUCAGCCUUAAACUUGGGGAAGUCUCAGAAGGACUGAAACAUUUUGGAUACACCUCUUGUGCCUCCACUUAUGUCCUCACUAGUUAGCUUGUGAUGAGAUCUUUUGUUGCAAAGUUACCAUAGGAAAUGUGUGCACUGGCACCAUGUUUUACCUCUACUAGGAAUUAUUAUUUAUUUGUGAGGAUCAAUUUUUUCUUUCUCAGUUUGAAGAAUAAACAGGAGGUAAGAAACCUGAGCCAGUGGCAGCCUUCGGAUCCCGAGUCCACUUCGCGCAGUACCCCACUAUCGGCUUUCCCUCUCUGAGAAUGAUUUUAAUGAUAUUUUCAGGAAUUAGAUUUCCAAAAUCAAGGCUGUUAUUGAAUAUCCAGAAAACAGAAAGCCCUCUUUCAGAUACUGGAAGGCCACUCUCAGUUCUCCCUGAAGCCUUCUCUUUUCCAGCCUGAACAACCCCUGUCCUUGUUGGGGAAGUUUUCCAUCCCUUGGACCAUUUUUGUGGCCUUCCUCUGGAUGCACUCAAAGAUGUCAUAGGGGAGGAGAUGAGAGCCAGCAUUACUGAACAAGGGAGACUGCAGAAGGUUCAAGAGACACAGGCUAUACUACGUUUUGCUCUGAAAUAAAAUUUUACUUAGUCCUGCCUAU
Molecule: long non-coding RNA, 928 nt
Organism: Numida meleagris (helmeted guineafowl)
Lineage: Eukaryota; Metazoa; Chordata; Aves; Galliformes; Numididae
Exons: 2
Source: RefSeq, a predicted model, not a curated record